Molecule: ribosomal RNA, 963 nt
Filed under: Nodulisporium sp. Et0502
Lineage: Eukaryota; Fungi; Ascomycota; Sordariomycetes; Xylariales; Xylariaceae
Description: eukaryotic LSU rRNA
Rfam family: 5.8S ribosomal RNA (bases 393-546)
Source: RNAcentral
UCAUACUUUUCCCGCGUAUAAGGUUAAUGUUCAGUGGGGUAUAUGAUAAAUUUCAGCGGGUGUAUGCCUUAAAUUUAAGCGGGUAUAUGGUUAAGUUCAGCGGGUAUAUGGUUUAUGUUCAGCGGGUAUUAUGGUUUAUUUUCAGCGGGUAUAUGCUUAAGUUCAGCCGGUAUAUGCUUAAGUUCAGCGGGUAUAUGCUAAGUCAUCUGGUAUGUUUCCGUUGGUUGAACCUGCGGAGGGAUCAUUACAGAGUUUUCUAAACUCCCAACCCAUGUGAACUUACCACUGUUGCCUCGGCGGCGCCCUUCUCCUUAGGGGGUGCGGGACCGCCGGUGGAAUACCAAACUCUUUUGAAUUCUUAGCACUUCUGAGUUAAAAACAUAAUAAGUUAAAACUUUCAACAACGGAUCUCUUGGUUCUGGCAUCGAUGAAGAACGCAGCGAAAUGCGAUAAGUAAUGUGAAUUGCAGAAUUCAGUGAAUCAUCGAAUCUUUGAACGCACAUUGCGCCCAUUAGUAUUCUAGUGGGCAUGCCUGUUCGAGCGUCAUUUCAAACCCUUAAGCCCUGUUGCUUAGCGUUGGGAGCCUGCUGUAAAAGGCAGCUCCUCAAAGUUAUUGGCGGAGUUUUAGCAAUCUCUAAGCGUAGUAAUUUAUUCUCGUUUCUGUAGUUGCUCUAGCCCCUGCCGUAAAACCCCAACUUUUCAGGUUUGACCUCGGAUCAGGUAGGAAUACCCGCUGAAUUAAAGCCAAUUACCCCCGGAAAAUUUUAAUAUAUACCCGGAGAAUUUACAUAUAUACCCGCAGAACUUAAGCAUAUACCCGCUGAACUUAAGCAUAUACCCGCAGAACUUAAGCAUAUACCCGCUGAACUUAAAUCAUAUACCCGCUGAACUUAAGCAUAUACCCGCUGAACUUCAUCAUAUACCCGGCAGAAAUAAAAUCUAUACCCGAUGAAAUUAAUCGAU